AGAUCACAACAGAGAGAGAGGGGGGAAAGCAAGCUCCCUGCUGAGCAGAGAGCCCAGAUGCAGGGCUUAAUCCCAGGACCCAGAGAUAAUGACCUGAGCCAAAGGCAGAGGCUUUAAAGCACUGAGCCCCCCAGGUGCCCUAGAAUUGUAGUUUUACAGGGAAGUUGUGAAGAUAGUACAUAGAAGAUUGUACAUUAGAGUAACUAAUGUACAUUUUCUGUCUCAGGAUCCCAUCUAGGAUACAUUGUAAUAUGAAACAUUUAAAAAUUUCUUAUCACUUAAGUUACAGUAGUGUUACACUGUUGUAGUCUGAAUGCUGAUGAUUGUAAAAUAUCUUUAAUGAGAGGUUCAGGAAAAAAUGGAGUCUUUUUUUUCUUUGAUAGUGGGUCUGUGUAAGCCAUAUGGUUGAAAAACAAAACCAAGAUAAAACUUAAUUGCCCUUUUCAGAAGUGGGCAGCAUUGUGUUAUACAGGAACGAGAACUAGAUUAGUAUUGUUUUAAUUUCCUUCCUCGCCCCUGAUAGAUUACUGAGGCAUAAUAGGCAUGCCACUGAGUCUCUUAAGCCUUGCUUUCCCCAUCCUUUCUAUGAAAAGGUUGGACAACAUGAUUUUCCCCAUCUUUAAGAUGAAGACAUAUGGGCAGAAUCUGGGGAUUGGAACAGAAGAGAUCUGCAUAUGUAAAUUACAACCUACAAUCUGGGAACUAAACAAUGGAACCGAAUUGUAGUAGUCUAAUCAGCUUGUUGGGGUUUGAGGAGAACUCAGAACUCCCACAAUGGGGCAGGACCAGAGAACUAACGGCACAGGUGGGGACUCUUCAUGAAUUCUAUCUUAACAGUGUAUCUGCUCAGGCUUGUUGCAACCCACAUGUCAGAACUCUGCAGGGGGACAGGUAAACAACCUGGUUGCUUCCCACAGCACUCAUGCCCCAGCUACUCUCUUCCUUAACCUCAUAUACUGAUACUUUAGGUAGUGUGAUAGGGGAGGGACACGCAUGCCCCAGAUACUCUCUUCCUUAACCUCUGGGUACUCUGGGUAGUGGGGUCAGGGGAGGGGACCCAUUGCCAACUUGAGUGUUCUUGAAGAUCAGCUAAAGGAUGGUUGAAAAGCACAUAACACAGAAAAGAUUUAUUCCAUUCCUACAGGUGUUCUCCUUUAAUUUUUGAGUAGGUGGUCAUUACUCUGGUCCAGUCUCCCAACCCCUGCCCCUCAAGCAAGCAUUUUAAAAUGGCAUUUGAUAAUGUCUGUCACAGAAAGAUGUUCAUAAGUAGGGGGAAAGGGAAGUUACAGAACUAUGAGUCAUGUUCUCAUUUUGGCAAAAAACAUGGAAACCAUAUUUUGUAUAUGGAGAAUAAUCUGAAGAGAAGUAUAUUAAAAUAGUAACCAUAAUUAUUCCUUGAAUUUUGGGGACUUUUGUAUAUCUUAGACUGUUUACCAUCAGCUGCUGGAACUGGAAUCCACACUGCCCUCUCUAAAACUAUAAUAUCGCUUAUCUUUUUUUUAGUGUUACUUUAGAACUUCCUUAAUUUAGAUGAUUAGUUGCAAACUGGUAUAUGUGCUUUGUUACCAUUUCUCAUAUGUUUGUGUGGACAUAUUGAUAGAUUUAUUACUAUUCAAGGUCUUACACUAUUUUUGCUGUAAUUUGAAAAAGGUAAAAAUUUGUGCUUUUAUUUUUGGUAUCAUGGGAAUUAAAGGCAAAUGAUUUGGGAUUUGAUAUCCUUCAGAUUUAAAGCUGGAAGCAUGUUUCCUAGGUUGUUUGCAUUGUCUGUGUAGUUUUUGGUGUUAUGGCUCAGAAGUGCAGGUUCAUUGUGAUGAAGGAGAGACUAGAUUGAUUAGUGGAGGAAGCCUGGAGAUGGGUUUUGGUCUUGGUUUGUCAACAAAAACAUAGUUAAGUGACUUUAGGAUAAUCACCUAACAUUUCUGGUGAUAAUUUUCUUUCCUCUAAAGUGUUUGGUUUUGGACUGGAUGAUCUCUGGUGUUCUCCUGGACCAAAUAUUGACAGCAUUUUAAAAGUUUCAGCUAGAAAAGGAUAGAUUUAUGGGUUAUUUAUUAACUGAACCCAGACUAAGGAGGUAAAAUAUUUAAAACUGUUAACAAAACAACACACACAGAUAUACAGGAAAAAGACAAGUAGAACUGUAGAAAAAGACUCCUAAAUGGCAAGAGAUCUAGAAGGUAGCUGUUUAAUAUUUCAGUUUUCAUGGAGUAAUAUGCCCAUCUUGUGGCUUUGUUUUUUCCUUCAUAGACAUUGGUGGUUUGGUGAAAUAAAGCCAUUGCUCUAGUCCUGAAUUUGAAAAUAAGGCUCAGUGUUUUUUGGUUUUUGUUUGUCUUACACUUUAAAAGUAAAAUAGUCUAAGCUGUUACAGCUUUUUAAAUGUUAGUAUUGUCAGUAAUAGAG
This 2397-nucleotide long non-coding RNA is filed under the name Mustela putorius furo (domestic ferret). Its description in RNAcentral is "lncRNA (ENSMPUG00000030505.1)". Lineage: Eukaryota; Metazoa; Chordata; Mammalia; Carnivora; Mustelidae. The record is from RNAcentral.